RNAcentral lists this ribosomal RNA (885 nucleotides) under uncultured bacterium. RNAcentral describes it as "bacterial SSU rRNA". It matches the Rfam family "Bacterial small subunit ribosomal RNA", at positions 8 to 916 of the family's 1533-position model. The record is from RNAcentral.
AGAGUUUGAUCCUGGCUCAGGAUAAACGCUGGCGGCGUGCUUUAUGCAUGCAAGUCGAACGGUUUCGAUUUAUCGGAAUAGUGGCGAACGGGUGAGUAACACGUAAGUAACCUGCCCCCGAGUGGAGAAUAACUUCGGGAAACUGAGGCUAAUACUGCAUGUGAUGGCAGAGGUAAUGCUUUGUCAUUAAAGCCGUAAGGCGCUUGGGGAGGGGCUUGCGUUCGAUUAGCUAGUUGGUAAGGUAACGGCCUACCAAGGCGACGAUCGAUAGCUGGUCUGAGAGGAUGAUCAGCCACACUGGGACUGAGACACGGCCCAGACUCCUACGGGAGGCAGCAGCAAGGAAUUUUGUGCAAUGGGCGAAAGCCUGACACAGCAACGCCGCGUGAGGGAUGAAGGCCUUCGGGUUGUAAACCUCUUUUAUCAGGGAAGAAUAAUGACGGUACCUGAGGAAUAAGCUUCGGCUAACUACGUGCCAGCAGCCGCGGUAAUACGUAGGAAGCGAGCGUUAUCCGAAUUUACUGGGCGUAAAGUGGGCGUAGGCGGCCUUUCAAGUUGGAUGUGAAAUCUCCUGGCUUGACUGGGAGGGGUCAUCCAAAACUGCUAGGCUGGAGGACAGCAGGGGAAAGUGGAAUUCCCGGUGUAGUGGUGAAAUGCGUAGAUAUCGGGAGGAACACCAGUGGCGAAGGCGGCUUUCCAGGCUGUUUCUGACGCUGAGGCCCUAAAGUGUGGGGAGCGAACAGGAUUAGAUACCCUGGUAGUCCACACCUUAAACUAUGGAUACUUGGUAUAGGGAGUUUCGACCCUCUCUGUGCCGAAGCUAACGCUUUAAGUAUCCCGCCUGGGAACUACGGCCGCAAGGCUAAAACUCAAAUGAAUUGACGG